CAUCCUGACAGUUUGUACCCAGGGAAGAGUGCACUAAGGAAGAAAUUCUCUACAGUGAGGCUGUUGAGGCACUGGGAACAAGUUGCCCGGAGGAGCUGUGGAUGCCUAAGGAAGGGUUUGCAUCUGCCCCUGCUCUCUCCACUUCCCUUCUUAGUCAUGACAUGGGGGCCUGAAGCAACUCCAGACUGAGGACAAGAUCUGACUGCCUACAGCCUUACCAAGCAGUUUUCUCUGGACACUUCCAAUGUUCUCUUACCCACAAAGUCUUUGUCUCCCAUCCAGAAGAGCUCUAAUUCCUCCAAGCUCAGGAAGAAGCUGCUGCCUGUCUGAAGAGUGUCACAAGAAUAGGAUUUAUGUGUUCGGCUUCAUAGUUAGAGAUGGAUUUAUAUUCUGAUAUUUAGAUGUCAUUUUGAAUAAAGGUUUUGAUUGUAUCUUUCAA
This is a long non-coding RNA of Passer domesticus (house sparrow), 439 nucleotides long. RefSeq lists it as uncharacterized. The transcript has 3 exons. NCBI's taxonomy places the organism in Eukaryota, Metazoa, Chordata, Aves, Passeriformes, Passeridae. The record is from RefSeq and is a predicted model, not a curated record.